UCACAAGCUCUCAGCUUAUGGCUCCUCUCAAAAUUCUCCUCUGUGGUGAUGUACUCGGCCGUCUCAAUCAGCUAUUCAAACGCGUUUCUUCGGUGAACAAGGCAGCUGGUCCAUUUGAUGCUCUUCUUUGCGUAGGCCAAUUUUUUCCUGAUUCGGUUGAGGGGAUUGAGGAAUUCAAUGGCUACAUUGAGGGGCGUUCCAAGAUUCCGAUACCGACCUAUUUCAUUGGUGAUUAUGGUGCAGGGUCCCCAAAAAUAUUGCCAGAAGCAUUGAAGGACCCGAGUAACAAAGGGUUUAAGAUGGAGGGUUUAAGAGUCUGUGACAAUUUGUACUGGUUGAAAGGAAGUGGGAAGUUUAGCCUUCAUGGGUUAUCUGUGGCAUACUUAUCUGGUAGGCGAACUCCAAGUGGAACUCAAUUUGGAACAUAUAGUCAAGAUGAUGUUGAUGCUUUGAGGGCUUUAGCAGAGGAUCCAGGAACAGUAGACAUCUUUCUGACAUAUCCUUUGGUUUUAUAUUGAUCUUUGUCAUUUUCUUCACCCCCCUAUUGCAAGUACUCUAUACAAUCUCUUUGAUUUCCUUAAUCAAAAAACACUAAUGAGUGGCCCAGUGGAGUAACAAAUGGAACGACAUCAAAAGCUCUUGUAGAAAUUUCUGAUUCAUCUGGGAGUGAUCCCACAGUGUCAGAGUUGGUAACUGAGAUUAAGCCUCGGUAUCAUGUUGCAGGAACUGUAGGUGUAUACUUUGAUCGUGAACCAUAUGCUAACAUUGAUGCUCUACACGCAACUCGCUUUUUGGGCUUAGCUCCUGUUGGAAACAAAGAUAAACAGAAAUUCAUUCAUGCGAUAUCCCCCACUCCAGCAUCAACAAUGUCAAAAACUGAGCUUAGUGCAAAGCCACCAAACACUACUUUAUGUCCGUAUACAAAUGUUGACAAAGCAUCCCCACCCGAUGGAGCGACAAAGAGGCCCGGUGAUAGUACUUCUGAGUCACAGUAUUGGAGGUAUGAUGUAUCCAAGAAAAAGCAGAAACAUGGAGAUGGUGGUGGUGACAGACUCUGCUUUAAAUUUGUCUCUUCUGGCUCUUGUCCAAGAGGAAACCAGUGCCAAUUUAGACAUGAUGAAGAAGCUUCGGAACAAUACUCAAGAGGUGUGUGUUUUGACUUUCUCAACAAGGGAAAAUGUGAAAAAGGUCCUGAUUGCAACUUCAAGCACAGUUUGCAGGAAGAAGGUGACAGAUCAGCAUCUAGGGCAGCAAGCUCUAACAGGUCAAAAGAAUGCUGGUUUUGUUUGUCAAGCCCGAACGUUGAGUCACAUCUCAUCACUAGUGUCGGAGAAUAUUACUACUGUGCACUUGCUAAAGGACCUUUAACACCUGAUCAUGUGCUAAUUAUGCCAAUUGAACAUACACCCAAUACGUUAUCUCUGCCACUGGAAUGUGAGAAGGAACUGGAACGACUUCAAAGCAGCUUCAAAGCUUACUUCAAAAAGCAAGGGAAGGAAGCAGUUUUCUUUGAGUGGGUAUUUAAGCGAGGAAGUCAUGCCAAUCUUCAGGUUGUUCCUAUUCCCUCGUCCAGGGCAUCUGCGGUUCGAGAUAUUUUUAACUUGGCUGCUGACAAAUUGGGAUUCAAGCUUACUAUGGUUAAAGAAGGAAGACAAGCAUUGCGGACACAGUUCGACAGAAGUUGCAGCUUAUUUUAUGUUGAAGUUCCUGGAGGUGAUAUUUUGUCACAUGUUAUUGAGGAGAAUGAAAAAUUCCCAGCUCAAUUUGGUCGGGAGGUUUUAGCAGGCUUGUUGAAUAUAGCAGAUAGAGCUGAUUGGCGAAAUUGUAAGGUUGGUAAAGAAGAAGAAACUAAAAUGGUUGAGAGAUUCAAGAACGGCUUUCAGGAAUACGAUCCAAAUCAAUAGGAUAGCCGAGAAAUAUGCAACACUAUAGCGAGCUCUUUCUCUCGUGUUCUUCAUUUCAUGCAACUUCAACAUUUCCUUGAGGACGCUGUUGUAAACGCCUAACCGGGCAGCAACAACAUUGCUGCAAUUUUCAUGUAUGUAACUCAGUCUGUCAGUUAGGCUAUUGAGGUAG
Solanum verrucosum is the source of this 2076-nucleotide RNA transcript. It is a transcript of the gene named zinc finger CCCH domain-containing protein 59-like, with no coding region annotated. The record is from RefSeq and is a predicted model, not a curated record. Lineage: Eukaryota; Viridiplantae; Streptophyta; Magnoliopsida; Solanales; Solanaceae. The transcript is spliced from 10 exons.